This 63-nucleotide transfer RNA is filed under the name Coleonyx mitratus. Its description in RNAcentral is "tRNA-Ser". The record is from RNAcentral. Lineage: Eukaryota; Metazoa; Chordata; Lepidosauria; Squamata; Eublepharidae.
GAGGGGUAAAAUUGAUUAGAGCUGCUACCUCUAUGACCCAAAACUAAACCUUUGGACCCCUUA